Molecule: ribosomal RNA, 546 nt
Filed under: uncultured bacterium
Lineage: Bacteria
Description: bacterial SSU rRNA
Rfam family: Bacterial small subunit ribosomal RNA
Source: RNAcentral
ACCGAAUAGAUACCCCGGUAGUCCACGCCGUAAACGAUGAAUACUAGGUGUAGGGGUUGUCAUGACCUCUGUGCCGCCGCUAAACGCAUUAAGUAUUCCGCCUGGGGAGUACGGUCGCAAGAUUAAAACUCAAAGGAAUUGACGGGGGCCCGCACAAGCAGCGGAGCAUGUGGUUUAAAUUCGAAGCAACGCGAAGAACCUUACCUAGACUUGACAUCUCCUGCAUUACCCUUAAUCGGGGAAGUUCCUUCGGGAACAGGAAGACAGGUGGUGCAUGGUUGUCGUCAGCUCGUGUCGUGAGAUGUUGGGUUAAGUCCCGCAACGAGCGCAACCCUUAUUGUUAGUUGCUACCAUUUAGUUGAGCACUCUAGCGAGACUGCCCGGGUUAACCGGGAGGAAGGUGGGGAUGACGUCAAAUCAUCAUGCCCCUUAUGUCUAGGGCUACACACGUGCUACAAUGGCAAGUACAAAGAGAAGCAAGACCGCGAGGUGGAGCAAAACUCAAAAACUUGUCUCAGUUCGGAUUGUAGGCUGAAACUCGCCUAC